This 370-nucleotide long non-coding RNA is filed under the name Ananas comosus (pineapple). Its description in RNAcentral is "long non-coding RNA (ACOM_LNC017352)". The record is from RNAcentral. Lineage: Eukaryota; Viridiplantae; Streptophyta; Magnoliopsida; Poales; Bromeliaceae.
UUAGAAUGAGUUAGAGUUACUUUUUUUUUUUUUUACAAAGGAUUAAGAUUAUUUCGAAACACUAAUGGGGGAUUUAUUUUUUUAAUAUGUUGGAUUUUAUCGAAAAAAGUUUACCACUAUAUUUAGAAGGUAAUGAAAUUCAUUUAUUUAUAUCGAAACAAACAAUAGAACUCAAAAAACUAAUUUCACCAGCAUCAAAUUAUACCAAAACAAGCAGAAGAACUAAUUGAAUUUAACUUUCAAACCCUACGAAUUAUCUCAAAACAAACGACAAAAAAUAAUCACACUUCGAAAAAAUUCAAACAGCACCGCACUUGAGCUAUGAGCCUAAGAUUAGAUCUAAAAAUUCGUCAAUCCAAACGCCCUUUAU